UACGGAAGGCAGCAGUGGGGAAUAUUGGACAAUGGGCGAAAGCCUGAUCCAGCCAUGCCGCAUGAGUGAAGAAGGCCUUCGGGUUGUAAAGCUCUUUUAGUGAGAAAGAUAAUGACGGUACUCACAGAAGAAGUCCUGGCUAACUCCGUGCCAGCAGCCGCGGUAAUACGGAGAGGGCUAGCGUUAUUCGGAAUUAUUGGGCGUAAAGAGCGCGUAGGCUGAUUAGUAAGUUAAAAGUGAAAUCCCAAAGCUUAACUUUGGAAUUGCUUUUUAAAACUGCUAGUCUAGAGAUUGAAAGAGGAUAGAGGAAUUCCUAGUGUAGAGGUGAAAUUCGUAAAUAUUAGGAGGAACACCAGUGGCGAAGGCGUCUAUCUGGUUCAAAUCUGACGCUGAGGCGCGAAGGGCGUGGGGAGCAAACAGGGAUUAGAUACC
RNAcentral lists this ribosomal RNA (432 nucleotides) under uncultured bacterium. Its description in RNAcentral is "bacterial SSU rRNA". It matches the Rfam family "Bacterial small subunit ribosomal RNA", at positions 340 to 786 of the family's 1533-position model. The record is from RNAcentral.